Molecule: small nuclear RNA, 117 nt
Organism: Malus domestica (apple)
Lineage: Eukaryota; Viridiplantae; Streptophyta; Magnoliopsida; Rosales; Rosaceae
Product: U5 spliceosomal RNA
Source: RefSeq, a predicted model, not a curated record
AGCCAUGCGUUGAGCACAGAGCGAACUAUUCUUUCACCUUUUACUAAAGAAUACCAUGUGCACAUCAUGGCAAAUGGCUUACGCACAUUUUUGGAGGGGCACACCUCUGUGGGUGUC